UGUUAAAAAUUUCAUCUAUUUUUACUAUUAAAAACUGGCAUAACUGAGAAAAAUAAUCAAACUGUGACACGUAGUGUGCCAUGUGUACCUCAUAUUAACAUAAAGAGAUUAGUUUUUAAUAGUAAAAAUGAAUGAAAUUUUCAAUA
Non-coding RNA from Gossypium raimondii (Peruvian cotton), 146 nucleotides. NCBI's taxonomy places the organism in Eukaryota, Viridiplantae, Streptophyta, Magnoliopsida, Malvales, Malvaceae. The record is from Rfam.